GACGGGAGCGGGGGAUUAGGGUUCGAUUCCGGAGAGGGAGCCUGAGAAAUAGCUACCACUUCUACGGAGGGCAGCAGGCGCGCAAAUUGCCCAAUGUCAAAAAAAAAGAUGAGGCAGCGAAAAGAAAUAGGGCCUGCAGACGGUUUACCGUAUGUGGGAUACAAUGGGGGAUAUUUAAUGCCAUCCAAUAUCGAGUAUCAAUUGGAGGACAAGUCUGGUGCCAGCACCCGCGGUAAUUCCAGCUCCAAAAGCGUAUAUUAACGCUGCUGCUGUUAAAGGGUUCGUAGUUGAAUUGUGGCUCGCGAAUCCGCUGUCCCGUCCUCUUGAGGGCGCCAGCGCUCGCUUGCCGUGAACAUUCGAAACACAAAACACGGGAAUGGUUCCUUUCCAUCCUCGCAUGUCAUGCAUGCGGAAAGGCGCCCGUGAUUUUUACUGUGACUAAAAAAGCGCGACCAAAGCAGUCGUUCGACCUGUAUUUUCAAGCAUGGGAUAACAAAGCUAACCUUCGGAUAUUUCCGGUUUCGGCUUUUGUUGGUUUUAACAGUCCGUAGGACAUUAUAAGUGAGUGUGACAGCCCUUUCGGGGGUUCCGGCUUGCCGGUUCAUUUCGCUUCAGAAUGAAAGAGGGUUGUCGGGGGAGAACGUACUGAGGCGUGAGAGGUGAAAUUCUUAGACCGCCUUAGACGAACUACAGCGAAGGCAUUCUCCAAGGAUACCUU
This 718-nucleotide ribosomal RNA is filed under the name Trypanosoma sp. Its description in RNAcentral is "SSU rRNA". It matches the Rfam family "Eukaryotic small subunit ribosomal RNA", at positions 354 to 970 of the family's 1831-position model. Lineage: Eukaryota; Euglenozoa; Kinetoplastea; Trypanosomatida; Trypanosomatidae. The record is from RNAcentral.